Molecule: ribosomal RNA, 350 nt
Filed under: uncultured bacterium
Lineage: Bacteria
Description: bacterial SSU rRNA
Rfam family: Bacterial small subunit ribosomal RNA
Source: RNAcentral
UAGGGAAUAUUGCACAAUGGAGGAAACUCUGAUGCAGCGACGCCGCGUGAGCGAUGAAGGCCUUCGGGUUGUAAAGCUCUGUGAUAUGGGAAGAUAAUGACGGUACCAUAUCAGAAAGGACCGGCUAACUUCGUGCCAGCAGCCGCGGUAAUACGAGGGGUCCAAGCGUUGUUCGGAAUUACUGGGCGUAAAGCGGGUGUAGGCGGCUAGGCAAGUUAGAUGUGAAAGCCCAGGGCUCAACCUUGGAAGUGCAUCUAAAAACUGCUUAGCUUGAAUACUGGAGAGGGAAGUGGAAUUCCUGGUGUAGCGGUGAAAUGCGUAGAUAUCAGGAGGAACAUCGGUGGCGAAGG